Long non-coding RNA from Oppia nitens, 408 nucleotides. RefSeq lists it as uncharacterized. Lineage: Eukaryota; Metazoa; Arthropoda; Arachnida; Sarcoptiformes; Oppiidae. The transcript has 4 exons. The record is from RefSeq and is a predicted model, not a curated record.
AAUAUAAUCAAAAAAUGCUAGAAAUAUAUGAUGACUGUGUCGUAGGUCGGGAUCAUAUACUAAACAAUUAUCCAAAUGUCAAAACAACUGAUAAAUUUGUUAAAUCAAAAAUACUUCAAGAAUGCUCUGAAUCAUACAAUGAAUGUUAUUAUGAAAAAAUACAUGAAUUUCAAAAACAAAACAAACAAUUGAUUGAUGAUAUGAAUAACGAACACACAGUCGGUAAAUACAGGUUCACUAAAACAAUUGGAGAAGCUUUGAAAUGUCGAUUUCAAUUGUUAAAUAUACCAUACAAUGGUUAACCAUAACCAACAACAACAACAUUAAAUUUUUUCAAAUUUUAUACAAAUCAUGUCGUAAAAAAGCGUAUUUGGUUUUAUAAUAAUUUUUUUCAAACAAAAAAAAUUU